AUAGACGAGUAGACCUUAGGCGAGGGAAGGCAUGUACUUUCCCUAAGAAGCGGGAGGAGAGAAAUAAAUAGAGGGCAGUGGGAUGAGAAGAACCUCGCGGGAUGGGAAGCCGCGGAGGGAAGGGCCGUCUUUGGUUACCUGGAGAGCGGGAGCAGCUGCGGAUCCCUUAUGAAGUGCCCGGAUGAAGCUCCAGCGCUCACGCGCUUUCCGCAUUGAGUGCAGCGCCAUCUUGAGAAGGGCGGAGCCGUCUUGUUUGGAAUGACGUCUGUUCAGAGAGCCAAUCCCAGUCUCGCGACUCCUGCUUGCUGGGCGCGGCUUGGGCCUCCAGGCUGCGCAGCGCAGCCGCUAUCGGGCGGACUGCAGUUCUUGCCGAGCAGUCGCAAUGAUUUGUAUGACAGCUGCUAGCCCAAGAGAGAGUUCCAGAAGAGGGCUACCUAACAGGUGCUGUGGCAUUUAGAAGAGGAAUGGAGCCAUUGUCAACGCACAGCUUGCAGGGGAGCAGGAGAGUCAGUCUAAGAAGGAAAUGUGAUGAUGGAAACAGAGGUUGGAAGAUGGAAGAGGACCCAGAGUCAAGGAAUGCAGAAUCAAGGCCAUCAAGCGACAGAUGUUCUUACAAAUGGAACACCAAUUGAGUUCAACUUACAACUUCUACUGAGGACCCCUGGACCGACGUGCUGGCACUUCCCCUGGCCUAGAGAGUUCCCCUCUGAAAGACACUACAACUGCAGGGCCCCUUCUUUGCCCCUAUCCAGCAGGAAGUAGCUAGAGCGGUCAUCAGCCAAAUUCCCAACAGCAGUUGGGGUGUCCUGUUUAGAGGGGGGAUUGAGAGGUGACAGCGUGCUGGCAGCCCUCGCAACCCUCGCUUGCUCUUGGUGCCUCCUCUGCCUGGCUCCCACUUUGGCAGCACUUGAGGAGCUCUUCAGCCCACCGCUGCACUGUGGGAGCCCCUUUCUGGGCUGGCCAAGGCUGGAGCUGGCUCCCUCAGCUUGCAGGGAGGUGUGGAGGGAGAGGCAUGGGCGGGAACCAGGGCUGCGCAUGGCGCUUGCUGGCCAGUGAGAGUUCCGGGUGGGCGUGGGCUCGGCGGGUCCCCGCACUCAGAGCAGCCAGCUGGCCCCGCCUGCCCCGGGCAGUGAGGGGCUUAGCACCUGUGCCAGCAGCUGCUGUGCUCUACUUCUCGCCGGGCCUUAGCUGCCUCCCCGUGGGGCAGGGCUUGGGACCUGCAGCCCACCAUGCCUGAGCCUCCCUCGCCUCUGUGGGCUUCUGUGUGGCCCGAGCCCCCCCGACGAGCACCACCCUCUGCUCCAUGGCGCCCAGUCCCAUCGACCACCCAAGGGCUGAGGAGUGCGGUUACACAGCGUGGGACUGACAGGCAGCUCCACCUGCGGCCCUGGUGCAGGAUCCACUGGGUGAAGCCAGCUGGGCUCCUGACUCUGGUGGGGAGUUGGAGAACCUUUAUGUCUAGCUAAGGGAUUGUAAAUACACCAAUAGGCACUCUGUAUCUAGCUCAAGGUUUGUAAACACACCAAUCAGCACCCUGUGUCUAGCUCAGGGUUUGUGAAUGUAACAAUUGACACUAUGUAUCCAGCUACUCUGGUGGGGACUUGGAGAACCUUUGUAUCUAGCUAGGGGAUUGUAAAUACACCAAUCGGCAUUCUGUAUCUAGCUCAAGGUUUGUAAACACACCAAUCAGCACCCUGUGUCUAGCUCAGGGUUUGUGAAUACACCAAUUGACACUGUGUAUCUAGCUACUCUAGUGGGGACGUGGAGAACCUUUGUGUCUAGCUCAGGGAUUGUAAACGCACCAAUCAGUGCCCUGUCAAAACAGACCACUCGGCUCUCUGUAAAAUGGACCAAUCAGCAGGAUGUGGGUGGGGCCAGAUAAGAGAAUAAAAGCAGGCUGCCCCAGCCAGCAGUGGCAACCCGCUUGGGUCCCCUUCCACACUGUGGAAGCUUUGUUCUUUUGCUCUUUGCAGUAAGUCUUGCUGCUGCUCACUCUUUGGGUCCACACUGCCUUUAUGAGCUGUAACACUCACGGCGAAGGUCUGCAGCUUUACUCCUGAAGCCAGCAAGACCACAAACCCACCGGGAGGAACAAACACCUCCAGAUGCACUGCCUUAAGAGCUGUAACACUCACCGCAAAGGUCCGCAGCUUCACUCCUGAGCCAGCGAGACCAUGAACCCCACCAGAAGGAAGAAACUCCAAACACAUCCAAACAUCAGAAGGAACAAACUCUGGACACGCUGCCUUUAAGAACUGUAACACUCACCGCGAGGGUCUGCGGCUUCAUUCUUGAAGUCAGUGAGACCAAGAACCCACCAACCAGACACAUUAGGACCCCUCGGAUAGUGACAGAUCUGGAGGACGGUUGUCUGGGACAGGAGAGUAAGACUGAGAAGGCCACGUCAAUGUCCAGGAGACAGUUAAUCUCCUGGCCCUCAAUGAUCAAGCAUACCUGGGGCUCUGUGAGGGUGAUGGCAUGGGCUGGCACUUGCCCUGGGCACCCUCAGUCCUGCUGCUGGAUCAUCGGGUUAGUGGCUUCUGACUCAGAGGACCUUUGUCCCCUGGGGCAGCGGCCUUCCAUUGAGUCCCUUGACAUAAGGGGCACGGAUGAGGAGGCGGCUUACUUCUAUUCUGACAAUCUUUUUAAAAGUGUCCUUGUAGACCACACUGGAAGCAAGUCCUAUUAGGCAUUCAAUUUGCCCAGACUUUCCGUGUUCCAAAGCCUCCAAUGUCUGCUUGCCUAAGGGCCAUGACUAAAGCGGUGGCCUUUUUCUUAUCUCAUUUGUCCCCUUCCUCCUGCUCCUCCUGAUCUCUAUUAUAAAAAACCGAGGUUGUGAAAUCAAUAGGGUUCCUAAGUUUUGCUCCGGGCCUAAGGUGGACUUUUGAUGUUUUUUCUAAUGUCUGCAGCUAACUGAGUGAUAAACUUAUCCUUUAAGAUUAGUUGGCCUUCAAUAGAGUCCGGUGACAGAGUGGUAUGCUUCCUCAAUGCCUCCCUUAGUCUCUCCAGAAAGGCAGUAGGAUUUUCUUCCUUUCCCUGUGUGAUAGUGGACACCAUUGAAUAAUGUAUAGGCUUCUUCCUACUUUUCCUUAGUCCUUCUAGCAUGCAAGUUAGUAAAUGUCUGUGGCACCAAUCUCCAUGUAUUCUGCGUCCCAGUGAGGGUCUACACUGGGCUUUUUGAUUCUGUAAGUACUUUAAGGGUUGGCCGAGUGCAAACAGCUCCCAUGUUUGAGCAGACCAAUUAUUAGGCAAUUUUCCUAACUCUGCUUCCGCAAGAGUCUCCCUAUCAAUUACUGCAUACCCAUUGUGUUUUUUUUUUUUCCCUCAGUCACCCGGGAGGAACCAUCUAUCAUCCUGCCUUGAAGGUAGUUUCUGCUGGAUCUGGUCAGACCUUUGUAUGGUAAUGAGGAUUUAAAUCCCCUGUUAGGAAAUCUGCUAGGUUAAUGUAAUUUGCUGUGGUUAAUGUUAAAUCACCUUUUUCUAGCAGAAUAGCCCCAUACUUUAAGAUUUUUGAGUUAGUAAGCUCCCUUUUUGCUUUUUGACUUAGGAUAGUUCUGAACUGGUGAGGUGUGCUCACAAUGAGGUUUCCUCUAAAGGUUAUUUUUCUGCUUUCUUCUGUUAGCAAAGCAGUUGCUGCUACAGAUUGAAUGCAUUUGGGCCAUCCACGGGUUCCUGGGUUAAGGAUUUUUGAUAGAAAGGCUACUGGUUGUCAGUGGCUUCAGUGCUUUCGGGCUAGGCCUUUGUUUACACUGACAACAAAAUGGUAUUGGAGUGUUAUGGGGUCACAGAGAAGACCUUCAAUUAUCAAUUAUAGGUUUUAAAUUUACCCUGGCUUUUAAAGAAAUAGGGUACACUUUUUUCUUUACUACUUCUAUCUUUCUCUUUCUCUCUUUCUUUCUCCUUUCUGUCUUUGUAGAUGGAUUUUGGAAACCCAGUGGAAGGAUGUUCGCUCAUUGCCCCCAUUUGCCACUAUAGGACUAUGCGCCUCCCUUUUAUUUACUCAAUUUGCUUUUAUCCUGAUCUAUUAUGUUGUUGUAGACCCAGUUCCAGUUGUUACAAUACUGGGUUAUCAGUUCUAAGGCCCUGGCAAGGGUGGUGUGGAACAGGUCCCACAUAACUGCCCAUGUCGAGAGCUCUAAGCCUAAAUUGGGAGGGACACCAGGGACAAGACUCCUGGGUUCAUAGCCUAGGGGCCUAAGGUCGCAGCAUAGAGCUUCCUUAGAUCCCUUUGGAGAUACUAAUACUUGGGAGAGGAAGUGAAAGUCUGAAGCAUUAGUAUCUAGGAGGCAGGGAUCAGAGGAAGUAGAUUCAGAGGUAAGGAGAAUUUUGGGGCUACACUUUCAAGAAAGUUGUGGUCAGGACCCAGGAGGUAUGGGUCAGAAGGAAAGGUAGAGGCACACGCACGGGUGACUGUUGAGUAGGGACUUCUGGCUGCGCCAUGAUCUCAACCGGCUAAUGCCGAGAGUUUGGGAUGACAGCUUUCUGCCUCUAGUCGGCCCCCGGCUUCCCCAGGGAAAUUGAAAGUGGAAGCUGGUUCCAGGUAGACCAGCGCUUCCAACCCAGAAGCGUUGGGGGUUGUUAGAAAGCCAUUCCCCAGACAGCCUCACACUUGAGUCUUAAGUCUGGUGGCCGCCCUAUCGUUUUUAACCGUCCGACAGGUGCCUGGUAUUUUCCUCCAAUUCUAAGGAAGGGUAGAACAGAAUAGCAAGCGAAAGCGCUUUGGAGGUCCCUUCAUGAUUGCCAAAAUGUUACCAGGGAGUCCUUGUUCUUAGAGCUCCAAAGAUGAUGGUGGGCCGCUUCCAUGAUGGCGGCAAGCCUCUUGUUCUCUGACCUGGGGUUCCUGGCCUCACGGAUACUAAGGAAUGGAAUCUUGGGCCAUGCAUUGAGUGUUAUAGCUCUAUUCAGCCCAAUUAGGAUGAACCCCAGGCACUUAGCCCGCGCAGGAACAAUGGCAAGCCUCUAGCCCGAUUGGGAGCAGCAAUGGACACUGCCUCGCUGGAUCACAAGUGCAGCAGAUCCACCCCUGCCAGAUCCAGAGGGUUGGAAGUCAGCUGCGGGUCUGCAAUGACGGCAAACAGUGGUGGACGGCGAGUGAAAGCUCAGCUCGAGCCAUAAAAAACACAGACCAGAAGAGUGUGCAGUUGCAAGAUUUAAUAGAGUGAAAACAGAGCUCCCAUAAAAUGGGAGGGGACACAAAGGGGGUUGCCCUUCAUUCUGUUUUUCAUAAGGACUGUACUAAUUUACACUCCCACCAACAGUGAAUAAGGGUUCCAUUUUUUGCACGUCCUUGCCAACACAUCUUAUCUUCUGUGUUUUUGAUAGUAGUCAUUCUAAUAGGCAUGAAGUGAUAUCUCAUUGUGGUUUUAAUUUGCAUUUCCCUGAUGAUUUGUGAUGUUGAAUAUUUUUUUCAUAUACCUACUAGCCAUUUGUAUGUCUUCAUUUGAGAAAUUCUAUUCAAGUCGUCUGACCAGUUUUUAAUUAGGUUAUUUGCUUUCUUACUAUUGAGUUGUUUCAAUUCCUUAUAUAUUUUGGAUAUUAACCCCUUGUCAGAUGUUUGGUUUGCAAAUAUAUUUUCUCAUUCUGCAGGUUGUCUCCUUACUCUGUUCAUUAUUUUUGUAGUUAUGCAGAAGCUUUGUAGUUUGAUGUAAUCCCAGUUGUCCAAUUUUGCUUUUGUUGCUUGUCAUUUGGGGACAUACCCAUAAUUGAUCUUAGCCAAAAGGCUGAGAAGUGAUUUGGGUCAUAUUAAAAAAUAUCAUUGCCAAGACCAAUAUAAUGGAGUUUUUUUCUAGGUUUUCUUCUGGUAAGUUUAUAGUUUCAGGUCUUAUGUUUAAGUCUUUAAUCCAUUUUGAGUUGACUUUUUUACAAAGUGUGAGAUGAGGGUCUAGUUAAUUUUUUUUUUUUGUAAAUUGACAAAUUAUAGUUGUAUAUAUUUAUGGGGUACAAAGCAAUGUUUUGGUUUAUUAAUACAAUGUGGAAUAAUUAAAUCUAGGUUGAUAUUAAAUCAAUAAAAUUGACAUCCAUCACUUUAAAUACUUAUUUUUUUGUCAUGAAACAUUUGAAGUUUACUGUUUUAGUGAUUUUGAAUUGCACAGUACACUAGAAUUAACUAUAUACGUCAUGCUGAUGUAAUAGAUUUCAAAAAACAAACACUUAUUCCUCCUGUUCAACUGAGGCUUUGUACCUUUUGACAGUCAUCUCCCAUUCACCCAAACCCCUAGCCUCUGGUAGCCAUCAUUCUACUCUCUGCGUCUAUAAAUUUGAUUGCUUUAGAUUCCACAUAUAAGUGAGAACCUAUGGUAUUUGUCUUUGUGUGUCUGGCUUAUUCCACUUAGCACAGUGUUCUCCAGUUCCAUCCAUGUUGUUGCAGAUGACAAAAUCUCUUUCUUUUUAGUUUCCAUUAUUUUAUUUUAUUUUAUUUUAUUUUAUUUUAUUUUAUUUUAUUUUAUUUAUAUGUUUGUUAUGUUAUGUCAUGUUAUGUUAUGUUAUGUUUGUUAUGUUAUGUUAUGUUAUGUAUGUUAUGUUAUUUUUUGAGACAGGGUCUUCUUGUUCCUUUGCCCUGGCUGGAGUGCAGUGACAUGAUCACAGCUCACUGCAGCCUUGACCUCCCAAGCUCAACUGUCCUUCUGCCUCAGCCUCCUGAGUAGCUGGGACUACAGAUGGUUGCCACCACACCUGGCCAAUUUUUUUAUUUUUUGUAGAGCUGGGGGUCCCACUAUGUUGCCAUGCUGGUCUCAAACUCCUGGGCUCAAGUGAUC
Molecule: long non-coding RNA, 6755 nt
Filed under: Homo sapiens (human)
Lineage: Eukaryota; Metazoa; Chordata; Mammalia; Primates; Hominidae
Description: HSALNT0294987
Source: RNAcentral